AGAGUUUGAUCAUGGCUCAGAUUGAACGCUGGCGGCAGGCCUAACACAUGCAAGUCGAGCGGUAGCACAGAGAGCUUGCUCUCGGGUGACGAGCGGCGGACGGGUGAGUAAUGUCUGGGAAACUGCCUGAUGGAGGGGGAUAACUACUGGAAACGGUAGCUAAUACCGCAUAAUGUCGCAAGACCAAAGUGGGGGACCUUCGGGCCUCAUGCCAUCAGAUGUGCCCAGAUGGGAUUAGCUAGUAGGUGGGGUAACGGCUCACCUAGGCGACGAUCCCUAGCUGGUCUGAGAGGAUGACCAGCCACACUGGAACUGAGACACGGUCCAGACUCCUACGGGAGGCAGCAGUGGGGAAUAUUGCACAAUGGGCGCAAGCCUGAUGCAGCCAUGCCGCGUGUGUGAAGAAGGCCUUCGGGUUGUAAAGCACUUUCAGCGGGGAGGAAGGCGAUAAGGUUAAUAACCUCAGCGAUUGACGUUACCCGCAGAAGAAGCACCGGCUAACUCCGUGCCAGCAGCCGCGGUAAUACGGAGGGUGCAAGCGUUAAUCGGAAUUACUGGGCGUAAAGCGCACGCAGGCGGUCUGUCAAGUCGGAUGUGAAAUCCCCGGGCUCAACCUGGGAACUGCAUUCGAAACUGGCAGGCUAGAGUCUUGUAGAGGGGGGUAGAAUUCCAGGUGUAGCGGUGAAAUGCGUAGAGAUCUGGAGGAAUACCGGUGGCGAAGGCGGCCCCCUGGACAAAGACUGACGCUCAGGUGCGAAAGCGUGGGGAGCAAACAGGAUUAGAUACCCUGGUAGUCCACGCCGUAAACGAUGUCGAUUUGGAGGUUGUGCCCUUGAGGCGUGGCUUCCGGAGCUAACGCGUUAAAUCGACCGCCUGGGGAGUACGGCCGCAAGGUUAAAACUCAAAUGAAUUGACGGGGGCCCGCACAAGCGGUGGAGCAUGUGGUUUAAUUCGAUGCAACGCGAAGAACCUUACCUGGUCUUGACAUCCACAGAACUUACCAGAGAUGCAUUGGUGCCUUCGGGAACUGUGAGACAGGUGCUGCAUGGCUGUCGUCAGCUCGUGUUGUGAAAUGUUGGGUUAAGUCCCGCAACGAGCGCAACCCUUAUCCUUUGUUGCCAGCGGUCCGGCCGGGAACUCAAAGGAGACUGCCAGUGAUAAACUGGAGGAAGGUGGGGAUGACGUCAAGUCAUCAUGGCCCUUACGACCAGGGCUACACACGUGCUACAAUGGCAUAUACAAAGAGAAGCGACCUCGCGAGAGCAAGCGGACCUCAUAAAGUAUGUCGUAGUCCGGAUUGGAGUCUGCAACUCGACUCCAUGAAGUCGGAAUCGCUAGUAAUCGUAGAUCAGAAUGCUACGGUGAAUACGUUCCCGGGCCUUGUACACACCGCCCGUCACACCAUGGGAGUGGGUUGCAAAAGAAGUAGGUAGCUUAACCUUCGGGAGGGCGCUUACCACUUUGUGAUUCAUGACUGGGGUGAAGUCGUAACAAGGUAACCGUAGGGGAACCUGCGGUUGGAUCACCU
RNAcentral lists this ribosomal RNA (1528 nucleotides) under Klebsiella pneumoniae. RNAcentral's name for it is "bacterial SSU rRNA". It matches the Rfam family "Bacterial small subunit ribosomal RNA". The record is from RNAcentral. Lineage: Bacteria; Pseudomonadati; Pseudomonadota; Gammaproteobacteria; Enterobacterales; Enterobacteriaceae.